CUUGGUCAUUUAGAGGAAGUAAAAGUCGUAACAAGGUUUCCGUAGGUGAACCUGCGGAAGGAUCAUUACCAAAUCCAAACUAUCAACCCAACAUGUGCAACCCAUUGUCGGCGGCCUGAGCCUCUGUGCCUGGCGCCGGUUACCCGUCUUUGAAAUUUGCCGCGUGAUAGCCGUUCGGGGGUUAUAACACUCUGAGCGGUGCGGCGAAUUCGAGACACUUAUUUGUAACCCAGUGUGAACCACAAGUUACCUGACCGAAUGAAUUGUCGUUUGGUUGGGCGUGCAGUGGUGCUCUCUGAGCGCUGUUGUGCCCCGUCAAAAACAACAAACCUAUGACAACUUUUAACGGUGGAUCUCUUGGCUCGUGCGUCGAUGAAGAACGCAGCCAGCUGCGAUACUUAGUGUGAAUUGCAGAAUUCAGUGAAUCAUCGAGUUUUUGAACGCAAAUUGCACUCUCGGGUCCUCCCGGGAGUAUGUCUGCCCGAGUGUCAUUAAAACCUAUACUCGCCCGUUUCGGGCGGCUGUGAGGGGUGUGUGUGGCAUUUGCAUGCGUGCGAUUGCCGUGCAGACACCUUUAAGAUGAGCGACGCUCCGCCUGAGCACUCUGCCUGGACACUCCUGUGGGUGCCGUCACGCACGGCAUCUAGAGGACGGGUUUAAUGUGGCACUAGACCUGUGGUCUUUUUCUAAUACAUUGCCUGGAGCCGAGGGAGAUGGUCUUGCGGGAACCUUUACAAGUGCGUCUGAAGCAAAACAAUCUAUACCAUGACCUCGGAUCAAACAAGACUACUCGCUGAAUUUAAGCAUAUC
This 810-nucleotide ribosomal RNA is filed under the name uncultured eukaryote. RNAcentral describes it as "eukaryotic LSU rRNA". The stretch from base 338 to 491 matches the Rfam family "5.8S ribosomal RNA". The record is from RNAcentral.